UACGUAGGUGGCAAGCGUUGUCCGGAUUUAUUGGGUUUAAAGGGUGCGUAGGCGGCCCUGUAAGUCAGUGCUGAAAUAUCCCAGCUUAACUGGGGGGGUGGCAUUGAUACUGCGGGGCUAGAGUACAGAUGAGGUAGGCGGAAUUGACGGUGUAGCGGUGAAAUGCUUAGAUAUCGUCAAGAACACCUAUAGCGAAGGCAGCUUACUAGGCUGUAACUGACGCUGAGGCACGAAAGUGUGGGGAUCAAACAGG
Molecule: ribosomal RNA, 253 nt
Filed under: uncultured bacterium
Lineage: Bacteria
Description: partial 16S ribosomal RNA
Rfam family: Bacterial small subunit ribosomal RNA
Source: RNAcentral